UAAAGUUUGCGUGUUCUUUCCCCCGUUUUUCUAUGGCUUCUUCCACCAUUAAUCGAUGGCUGAGGCCUGAGGUGUAUCCACUUUUUGCAGCCGUAGGCGUUGCUGUAGGGAUCUGUGGAAUGCAAUUGGUUCGUAAUAUCUGUACCAACCCUGAAGUCAGGGUGACAAAGGAAAACAGGGCAGCAGGAGUGCUGGAUAAUUUUUCAGAAGGGGAGAAAUAUUCAGAGCAUGCUCUAAGGAAGUUUGUUCGAAACAAGUCUCCGGAGAUUAUGCCAUCAAUCAACGGCUUCUUCAGUAAUCCAAACUAAUGUCCUAGUCAAGUUUAAUUUGGAUUAACACCAUUAUUCUUUGUCUUCUUUUCCAUUGAAUGAGAUAGACAUGAAAUGCAUUUUUCUGGCCCUAAAAGAUAUUUGAAAGAAACUUGAAUAAAUGUAAUCAGAACCACAAGUUCCCCUCUCUUUUGACAGGGCACAUCUUUUCAUAUGAUAUUGAACUGUUGUUUUCCGGAUACG
RNAcentral lists this unclassified non-coding RNA (512 nucleotides) under Hevea brasiliensis (rubber tree). The record is from RNAcentral. Lineage: Eukaryota; Viridiplantae; Streptophyta; Magnoliopsida; Malpighiales; Euphorbiaceae.